GAUUGGCUCGGAGCAACUCUAUAUUAUUUUGGUCGUCGUAGUUGUCGAUCCAUAGAGAUGGAAGUCCAAUUUCCAUUGAUCGCUUUCAUUCCAAAGAAGAGGCUGAAAGGAGUCUCUCCUAUUGGUAUUCUCUGGGUGAUUCGAUAGGCUCAAAGUAUGUUAUGUAGCUCAUCCACCCACAAUCCUUUGGCUUAAUCUAACCUGAUCUUCAAUUCCUGCAAAAAGAUGCGGUUAGUAACUUCAGCUUCUCCAUUGGCCCAUGGGUGCCCUACUAAUGUGAAGUGAU
RNAcentral lists this long non-coding RNA (286 nucleotides) under Elaeis guineensis (African oil palm). Its description in RNAcentral is "long non-coding RNA (EGUI_LNC075438)". The record is from RNAcentral. Lineage: Eukaryota; Viridiplantae; Streptophyta; Magnoliopsida; Arecales; Arecaceae.